Molecule: ribosomal RNA, 493 nt
Filed under: Teucriogethes lindbergi
Lineage: Eukaryota; Metazoa; Arthropoda; Insecta; Coleoptera; Nitidulidae
Description: partial 16S ribosomal RNA
Source: RNAcentral
CAUGUCUUUUUGGUAUAUUAAUAUAAAGUCUAACCUGCCCAAUGAUUUAAUUAUUUAAUGGCCGCGGUAUUUUGACCGUGCAAAGGUAGCAUAAUCAUUAGUUUUUUAAUUGAAAGCUGGUAUGAAAGGUUGAAUGAGAAAAUAACUGUCUUUAUGAUAUUUAAUUAUAAUUUUAUUUUUAAGUUAAAAAGCUUAAAUUUAAUUUAUAGACGAGAAGACCCUUUAGAGUUUUAUAAAAGUUUAGAUUUAAAUUUUUUAGUAUUUAUAAAUUUAAAUUUAAGCUUUUAUUUGGUUGGGGUGAUUGAAAAAUUUAAUAAACUUUUUUUAUUAUCUUACAUUUAUUUAUGAAUUUUUGAUCCAUAAAUAGUGAUUAUAAGAUUAAAUUACCUAAGGGAUAACAGCGUUAUUUUUUUUGAGAGUUCUAAUCGAAAAAAAAGAUUGCGACCUCGAUGUUGGAUUAAAAUUAAAUUAUGGUGUAGAGGCUAUAAACUUA